Gasterosteus aculeatus aculeatus (three-spined stickleback) is the source of this 2193-nucleotide long non-coding RNA. The record is from Ensembl. NCBI's taxonomy places the organism in Eukaryota, Metazoa, Chordata, Actinopteri, Perciformes, Gasterosteidae.
ACUUUCCAAAAAUGAACCCAUGUGUAUUCACAUACAUUCUAUACAUUCACUUUUAUACCAACAAAUUAAAGCAGGGAAGCAAAACAUCAAAGUGACAAUUUCUUUUGAUCAAGCACUAGAAAUUGGAUUUAUUGGAAGUCCACAUCUGCUCAUCCGAUACAUAUGAAUGGAUUUCAUCAGAGCACCUUUAGGUAAUGCCAGACACUUAAGGGAAAUGAGAUGAUUUCUCUCAAUUUCUGUGCAAUUUUUUUUUUUUUAAUAAUAACUGCCCUUUUCCUUUCACAAUGAUUGGUAGUUAUGUCUCCGAUUUGACAUAUCUUUCUAAAUCUUUAUCGGUUCAACUUUUGAAAUUUGGGGAUUCAAUUCUUGGAAAAGUUGCUUCUCUCAGGCUUCCAGGCCACUCCGGCUGUGCAAAUUUAACUUCUAUCGUGAUGGAAAUUAGGGGAAAUCCCUUGGUCUUCAGUUAUCCUUCAACCUUUAACAUUAUCCCGUCUAGAUCAUCGAGCAUUGAGAGCCGUUAACCUUCUUAGAUUGGCCUAGUGACGCCAUUUGCUCAUAUUGCAUUGUGUGACGUGCUUCAACACGCACGCACGCACACACACACACCCCCCCCGUUGUCAGGGCACGCACGUAUUUGCCAAAACAUGCUGCUGUCUUUUUCCCCAACAUGAGUGCCUGUCAACUCUCCAGAAAUCUGCGAUGUCUCCAGAUUUGUUCCCUCGAUGGGAAACUUUCUGUUUGUGUGGCAUGUUUUGUUGGUGUUUUGCGUGUAAAAUGACACUGACGUGACACGGCCAGUGUGUAUGUUUGCCCAUAAAGGAUGGAGUUUCAUGUCAUCCAUCUCCCCUGAAGGAGGAGAGAAGUAGUCGAGAGGAAAAAGUGGCUGAGGAAGAAAAAAAAUGGCACGCAAGAGGUACAUGGCUAAGCAGUGCCAGUCUCAAAUUAAGCGACAUUUCAAGGAAAGAGGAAAAUUCUUCAAUUAGACUCAUGAGGCCUCACAAAGAUGCCACCAGUUCAGCGAGCGGCACCCAUUGGAAGUCCACCUGCUUUUCCUGGCCCCAUCCUGCUGUCGCCGACGUCUAUGCCUCCAAGAGGAGCUGCUUUCAUCUCCACCGAGUUUGACCCGACCAAGUUGGCACCGAGUAGUGUAAAACACCCGGAGGACUCCAUCCAGGACUCUAUAGGAGACACAGGCAUGCCUUUGGAUAUGUGCGCCGACCACCAGCUGGGUUCUCCCACAGCACCGGUGAUGACCCUGCCGGGCACGGGAGUCAUGCAGGGUUCCAGACUGGGCAUGCCCCCUCUGCAGCCUCCCCCCAACAUGCCGAAUCCUCAUCUACCUCCUUUCCUCUCGCCUCCAAACAUGUCGCACAAUCACCCGCAAAUGAUGCCCGGACGGCCCGUGUUUUCUCCGGAGAGGUUCAGGAUGCCCAUGCCCUUUCCGCCUCGCGGCCCUCCUUUCCAUCGGCAUCUCUCCAUGGGACCAGACGGCAUGCACGACAGGGAAGGGAUGCAUUUCAGAAACGGGAGAGCAGGGUUUGGGUGCCCGCCCUUCCAGAGAGGGAGGUGGUAGAAGCAGGCAGAAUGACAGACCUGAGGGGAGAGGCGUCGGGAUCACUGUGACGGAUCAGUAUCACGACAUCUGGUUCAACAAGGAACUGCUGUAAAUAAUUGAGGGUGCUUAGACUUCUUUUAGUACCGCACCCUUUUCUUACCGUCACAUGAACAAUCACACAGACAGUGUUCUGAAUGUGAUCCACGCACCUCCAAGUUCACCAGAGGAGAGACCUUUUGUUGUAAAUACUGUACAUGCUCGUAGCUGUUUGCUAUCUUUUUGUAUAUUUGAAGUGUGUAGUUCAUGCUGAAGUCUAAUCUUAGUAGUUGGAGGGGAAAAAACAAAGGCAACGUCUGUAUUUUUGAGCGUAUUCCCUUUACCAUAGUUUUUGUCUAAGGAAGGAGACUGAAAAUCUAUAAUUCAAUCACCGUUUUGGUAUUUAGUUUUUAGCGAAAUGGCUUUUGUAACACACUAAUGUUUAAUUCCUGAGUUAAGAAGUUUGAUUUCAUUUGAAGUGGAAGAUUCAUGUCCUGCCAGCAGAGGGUAGUGUAAACCCUGUUACCGCGGCCAACCCCUGUUGUACAUUAAGGUCACACCUUGUAACUCGCAUUGAAAAUUAAAAAAAGGUUUCAAUUUGA